Molecule: non-coding RNA, 45 nt
Filed under: Schistosoma margrebowiei
Lineage: Eukaryota; Metazoa; Platyhelminthes; Trematoda; Strigeidida; Schistosomatidae
Source: RNAcentral
GUCUAGCUGACGAGUUCUAAAUAGAACGAAACUCGUUCCCUAGAU